Molecule: long non-coding RNA, 278 nt
Filed under: Phaseolus vulgaris (common bean)
Lineage: Eukaryota; Viridiplantae; Streptophyta; Magnoliopsida; Fabales; Fabaceae
Description: long non-coding RNA (PVUL_LNC001631)
Source: RNAcentral
AUCAACAGAAAAAAAAUGAUAAAUCUUUUAAAAUCAGUGUGCAAAUCUGAGACGCUACAGCUGGCGUAACUGAACACCAAAAUUGCAAAAUUUAUUAAAAAAAAUUGGUGCAUGCGUUUUGAGUGAUUCCAAAGCCAGAUUUUAGCUAAGAUCUUGAAUAUCUUGCAUAUCAAAUUUCAGAAUCAUAUCUUAAAAAAACAGCUCAGCAUAAAUUGGGGAAAAACACGUUUCUGGCCCACAACAUUUUCCAGUGGUGCUGUUUUUUUUUUUAUUUGGUC